RNAcentral lists this ribosomal RNA (448 nucleotides) under uncultured bacterium. Its description in RNAcentral is "SSU rRNA". It matches the Rfam family "Bacterial small subunit ribosomal RNA", at positions 26 to 518 of the family's 1533-position model. The record is from RNAcentral.
AGAGCGAACGCUGGCGGCAGGCCUAACACAUGCAAGUCGAGCGGCCGUAGCAAUACGGCAGCGGCAGACGGGAUAGUAACACGUGGGAACGCGCCCUUCGGUUCGGAAUAACUCAGGGAAACUUGAGCUAAUACCGGAUACGCCCUUACGGGGAAAGAUUUAUUGCCGAAGGAACGGCCCGCGUCCGAUUAGCUAGUUGGUGAGGUAAUGGCUCACCAAGGCUCCGAUCGGUAGCUGGUCUGAGAGGAUGACCAGCAUCACUGGGACUGAGACACGGCCCAGACUCCUACGGGAGGCAGCAGUGGGGAAUAUUGGACAAUGGGCGCAAGCCUGAUCCAGCCAUGCCGCGUGGAUGAUGAAGGCCUUAGGGUUGUAAAGUCCUUUUAACGGGGAAGAUAAUGACGGUACCCGUAGAACUAAGCCCGGCUAACUUCGCGCCAGCAGCCGC